Molecule: long non-coding RNA, 637 nt
Organism: Beta vulgaris subsp. vulgaris (sugar beet)
Lineage: Eukaryota; Viridiplantae; Streptophyta; Magnoliopsida; Caryophyllales; Amaranthaceae
Exons: 2
Source: RefSeq, a predicted model, not a curated record
UAAAGGAGUAAAAUAAUGUGGAACUGGAAAUAUAUGCAUGAAUCAUGAAUGGGUGUAAAAAAGACGAUAGCCAAGUGGCUCUGGAUUCUGGAACUUCUUGAAUUUCUGGUUCACGAUGAAGUCGAGGAGAUUUGGCUGCGCCUGAGGAAGGAAUGAUAAAACUAUAUCGGAUAUAGGCAGCUUUGCCUAUAUUAUGGGCAAUUUUGUCAUUUCAAAUAAUUUAGUAAGAUGGAAUGCAAAAGCAAGGGAAUGGGGUAUUCCCCCUCAUUCCAUAAGUUAGUUCAAUCUCUCUCCUCAACCUCACUCCUCAACCUCAGUCAUCAUCCCACCCACCGGAACCGGAAGGUUUGAAGCCGGAAAGAGGCGUAACUGUGUUUUUUCGUGAAUUGAAGCCGAUAGUUUAAUGCAAGUCAGGGGUGGUGGAGGAAGAUUUCACAGCGAAAUGGAUAAAUAACAAUGACAUGUUCGUUGUAUUUUGCGCGUCGGAUUGCUUUCUUUUGUAACGAUCUAAUGCAAGUGUAAUUUUAAGUACCUCACUUAGCAUUCUAAUGGUUGUAUGGAUAAUGUUAAGUACUUUGUAUGAAUAUGUGAACUUAUCAUUUUGUAUUUAAAAUGAAGCAUCAUAUUGUGUUUAUCA